GCCCAGGUGGUGAAAUGGUAAACACGCUAGAUUCAGGUUCUAGUGCUCGCAAGGGUUUGGAGGUUCAACUCCUCUCCUGGGCA
This 83-nucleotide transfer RNA is filed under the name Armatimonadota bacterium. RNAcentral describes it as "Armatimonadetes bacterium tRNA-Leu". It matches the Rfam family "tRNA". From Rfam's summary of the family: Transfer RNA (tRNA) molecules are approximately 80 nucleotides in length. Their secondary structure includes four short double-helical elements and three loops (D, anti-codon, and T loops). Further hydrogen bonds mediate the characteristic L-shaped molecular structure. tRNAs have two regions of fundamental functional importance: the anti-codon, which is responsible for specific mRNA codon recognition, and the 3' end, to which the tRNAs corresponding amino acid is attached (by aminoacyl-tRNA synthetases). tRNAs cope with the degeneracy of the genetic code in two manners: having more than one tRNA (with a specific anti-codon) for a particular amino acid; and 'wobble' base-pairing, i.e. permitting non-standard base-pairing at the 3rd anti-codon position. Lineage: Bacteria; Bacillati; Armatimonadota. The record is from RNAcentral.